GACGAACGCUGGCGGCGUGCCUAAUACAUGCAAGUUGAGCGCUGAAGGUUGGUACUUGUACCAACUGGAUGAGCAGCGAACGGGUGAGUAACGCGUGGGGAAUCUGCCUUUGAGCGGGGGACAACAUUUGGAAACGAAUGCUAAUACCGCAUAAAAACUUUAAACACAAGUUUUAAGUUUGAAAGAUGCAAUUGCAUCACUCAAAGAUGAUCCCGCGUUGUAUUAGCUAGUUGGUGAGGUAAAGGCUCACCAAGGCGAUGAUACAUAGCCGACCUGAGAGGGUGAUCGGCCACAGUGGGACUGAGACACGGCCCAAACUCCUACGGGAGGCAGCAGUAGGGAAUCUUCGGCAAUAGACGAAAGUCUGACCGAGCAACGCCGCGUGAGUGAAGAAGGUUGUCGGAUCGUAAAACUCUGUUGGUAGAGAAGAACGUUGGUGAGAGUGGAAAGCUCAUCAAGUGACGGUAACUACCCAGAAAGGGACGGCUAACUACGUG
Molecule: ribosomal RNA, 497 nt
Filed under: uncultured bacterium
Lineage: Bacteria
Description: partial 16S ribosomal RNA
Rfam family: Bacterial small subunit ribosomal RNA
Source: RNAcentral